CCUACGGGGGGCAGCAGUGGGGAAUAUUGCGCAAUGGUCGAAAGCCUGACGCAGCGACGCCGCGUGAGGGAUGAAGGUCUUCGGAUCGUAAACCUCUGUCAGCAGGGAAGAACGGUCACUGUGCUAAUCAGCAGUGAAUUGACGGUACCUGCAAAGGAAGCACCGGCUAACUCCGUGCCAGCAGCCGCGGUAAUACGGAGGGUGCGAGCGUUGAUCGGAAUUACUGGGCGUAAAGCGCUCGUAGGCGGUAUGUCAAGUCAAGGGUGAAAUCCCCGCGCUCAACGUGGGAACUGCCUUUGAAACUGGCAAACUGGAGUGUGUGAGAGGAUAGUGGAAUUCCAGGUGUAGGAGUGAAAUGCGUAGAUAUCUGGAGGAACAUCAGUGGCGAAGGCGACUAUCUGGCACAUAACUGACGCUGAGGAGCGAAAGCGUGGGUAGCAAACAGGAUUAGAUACCCUUGUAGUC
This 465-nucleotide ribosomal RNA is filed under the name uncultured bacterium. Its description in RNAcentral is "partial 16S ribosomal RNA". It matches the Rfam family "Bacterial small subunit ribosomal RNA", at positions 338 to 795 of the family's 1533-position model. The record is from RNAcentral.